RNAcentral lists this transfer RNA (62 nucleotides) under Amblyomma javanense. RNAcentral describes it as "tRNA-Leu". The record is from RNAcentral. Lineage: Eukaryota; Metazoa; Arthropoda; Arachnida; Ixodida; Ixodidae.
AUUAAAGUGGCAGAAUAAAUUGCGAGGAAUUUAAGCUUCCUUAAUGAUUAAUUCCUUUAAUA